RNAcentral lists this ribosomal RNA (468 nucleotides) under uncultured bacterium. Its description in RNAcentral is "partial 16S ribosomal RNA". It matches the Rfam family "Bacterial small subunit ribosomal RNA", at positions 28 to 507 of the family's 1533-position model. The record is from RNAcentral.
GACGAACGCUGACGGCGCGCCUAACACAUGCAAGUCGAACGGAGCUGAGAGAAGCUUGCUUUUCUUAGCUUAGUGGCGAACGGGUGAGUAACGCGUGAGUAACCUGCCCUGGAGUGGGGGACAACAGUUGGAAACGACUGCUAAUACCGCAUAAGCCCACGAUCCGGCAUCGGAUUGAGGGAAAAGGAUUUAUUCGCUUCAGGAUGGACUCGCGUCCAAUUAGCUAGUUGGUGAGGUAACGGCCCACCAAGGCGACGAUUGGUAGCCGGACUGAGAGGUUGAACGGCCACAUUGGGACUGAGACACGGCCCAGACUCCUACGGGAGGCAGCAGUGGGGGAUAUUGCACAAUGGGGGAAACCCUGAUGCAGCGACGCCGCGUGGAGGAAGAAGGUUUUCGGAUUGUAAACUCCUGUCGUUAGGGACGAUAAUGACGGUACCUAACAAGAAAGCACCGGCUAACUACGUG